This 253-nucleotide ribosomal RNA is filed under the name uncultured bacterium. Its description in RNAcentral is "partial 16S ribosomal RNA". It matches the Rfam family "Bacterial small subunit ribosomal RNA", at positions 524 to 776 of the family's 1533-position model. The record is from RNAcentral.
UACGGGGGGGGCAAGCGUUGUUCGGAAUUACUGGGCGUAAAGGGCUCGUAGGCGGCCAACUAAGUCAGACGUGAAAUCCCUCGGCUUAACCUGGGAAUUGCGCUUGAUACUCUGAGACUGGAGUACGGGAGAGGAGAGUGGAAUUCCUGGUGUAGCGGUGGAAUGCGCAGAUAUCAGGAAGAACACCCGUGGCGAAGGCGGCUCUCUGGAACGCAACUGACGCUGAGACGCGAAAGCGUGGGGAGCAAACAGG